This 21-nucleotide non-coding RNA is filed under the name Arabidopsis thaliana (thale cress). Lineage: Eukaryota; Viridiplantae; Streptophyta; Magnoliopsida; Brassicales; Brassicaceae. The record is from RNAcentral.
CUGACUUGGGUAUAGGGGCGA